CAUGACAGAACCCAACAACAGCAUGAACUGGGUCAGCAUGAGAACAGACUCACUGGUCACCAUAAACAGAUGUCAUGAAGUUUUGCCGCUCUUUAGCUCUCAGCAAUUGUUCCGACCCCAGAUGGAAUCUCUGGAGGGUGGUUACCACAGGGCAGUCAUAGCUCCAGCGCUUGCAUCCUCUCAGCUUUGAAUCCCAGAGGGAACCGCGAAGUUCUCCUGCCACCCCAGGCGCCCUACUGAGAGGAUUCACCUGAAGAUCUCGCUGCUUCUCAGUGUCUCUGAUUGGCUCACAUGCCAUCCCUACAGCUAGAGAUGGAGUCUCAACUGCCACAAAGAGACCGAGAGACUGGCCUGAGACUGGGUCCUUGGGUUCUGCUUCCAGAAGAUGGAAAACUUAUUUAAAGCCCUCUUCAUCCCCAACGCUGGUGACUGUUUUGGGCUGGGCACUGUCGUCGAGGGUAUGUUCAGCUAUGACAGCCCAAGGACAGCUACUGAGGACAUUUGCCUGCUUUUGAAGCUGCACAGCGUUUCUGAAUUCUCUGCAGCGCUGAGGCUUAUCUCCGGGCGCCACACCGUCUUAUCUGAAGUUUUCUUCCUUUCGUCUUCCUGAGAAGAUUUAUAACCCAGAAAAGCCAUGCCAUGAUUUCGGCUUCCAAAAUUGUAUUCUGGUUGUUUUAUUUUGCUCCUUGUCCUCUGUUGGCUUCGAGGAUGCUGUUGAACAAUCUACAAAUUCCCAGAGUGUCUUUGACUUUGUAGGCACCGUUGACCGUUGUCUUUGCUGUGUCUUUUAUAGAAUGUUCAUAAAUUCCAGGUUAUUACAGCUUUGUAAAGUUCUGUUACAGGCAAGCUAGGGACAGAUGCAGAUAGGAGAGAGGGACCAGAGGUAUAUUCCUGUAAUGUCACAGAGAAUUAUACUUUCAGUCUAGAAUGGGGAAUAGGAAAAAAGGCUUUAUAAGUUACAUUUUUUGUUUUUGUUUUUGUUUUUUUUUUUUUGAGACAGGGUUUCUCUGUAUAGCCCUGGCUGUCUGAAACUUACCUUGUAGACCAGGCUGGCCUUGAACUCAGAAAUCCACCUGCCUCUGCCUCCCAAGUGCUGGGAUUAAAGGCGUGUGCCACCACUGCCUGGCUCCUUUUUUUUUUUUUUUUUUUUUUUUUAAGACACACUUUUUUUUAAGACUUAAGUGACACAUUCAGGCUGUUCGCUAAGGAUGAGUUUAUGACUUUGCUUGUGUUGUGCGUAGGCACAGUCAUGCCAUGGUGCAUAUGUGGAGAACCAGAGGGCAACCUACAGGAAUGGACUCCUUAUUCCAGUGUGAGCAGACAAAAUGGUGGGUAAUGGGACCUCGGAGAUU
Molecule: long non-coding RNA, 1352 nt
Filed under: Mus spicilegus (steppe mouse)
Lineage: Eukaryota; Metazoa; Chordata; Mammalia; Rodentia; Muridae
Description: lncRNA (ENSMSIG00000015186.1)
Source: RNAcentral